AUAAAAGAAACAAAAUUAUUUGUCUCCAAUUUCGACCUGGAACUAGAAAACUUUCCUUUUAUU
Molecule: transfer RNA, 63 nt
Filed under: Macrocheles muscaedomesticae
Lineage: Eukaryota; Metazoa; Arthropoda; Arachnida; Mesostigmata; Macrochelidae
Description: tRNA-Arg
Source: RNAcentral